AUUUUGUUGGUGUUAUCAUAACUUUUUGAUGUUGAAUACUAUGUUUUUAAGUAAACCUUGAGGUCAUUCUUUUUAGAACACAAAGGCUAAGGGAAGUUAUGUUUGUUUUCAUAGCCAUGAAAGGAAGUUUGUGAAAGUGUUGUUCCUUGUGCUAUUGGGUGUGGUGCCAUCCAAAGCUAAUCUACCUUAUCUUAGAAGUGUUUGCCCACUGUGUGAUUGCAUGGUAUAACCCUGUGCUUAUGUCGAGGUCUGCUGAUAUAGCAGAUUUAGUGAAAAAUAAAAAUCUCAUUGAUUUAUCAAGACCAGUCUCCAUGCUUGUCUCAGAGCAGCGUGAAACGGUGCUGAAGUAGUUGACCACACCCGGGUAGGCUUCAAAUCCUAGUAAAACAAUUGGAUGACUUUGGGUGUUCCAGUAAGUAUUCUUAAAAUAACUCCAGCACAGAGAAGAGAAAGGAGCCUUGAAUAAUUAAACAUGUCGUUAAGAUACUGUUAGAAUUGGGGAUUAUGGUCACGGACAGGGCUAUUCGCCUGUGUUACGCCGAACGCGAAAACCCAGGAAAAUGAACAGCGAGACUAUUCAAGCCAUCGACUCACUGAUGGUUGAAGAUGAUGAGCGAUUGACAAAUGCAGUCUGGAAUCUGCUGGCAUCACAGCACAACAUCACUCUAAGCACCGUCAGAAGACAGUUGAAGAAACUUGAGUGGACUUAUGGAAAGGCUCUGUAAGGGCCAGUCAAGGUGGAAGUUUGAAUUGAUCAUGACAUCCUUUGACCUGUGGGGGAGCAGUGAACUAUUCUCCUCUGGAGUAUGGGCCCUGAGAAACCUGAUCCACAGGAUGCCGACCACCCCUCCCUCCUCCCUCUAUGCCCACCCACCAGCUUUCCCGGCCUUUUCCUCCACCACACCACCCGCCCCCCCCUGUUCCCCGUACCCCUCCCCACCAUGCUCCCCAGGCCCUGGGGUGAAGGGGAUUGGAGGUUCCGGAGGGGUGACCCUGCGUUCUCCAGCCACUCGUCACCUCACCCACCUGGACCCCUGGAGGAGGCAUAGCUGGGAGCCUGUGGCUGUACUGACAGUGCAGCAGCAGGGGACGGAGCCCAGCGACAACCACAG
This 1112-nucleotide long non-coding RNA is filed under the name Salmo salar (Atlantic salmon). Its description in RNAcentral is "lncRNA (ENSSSAG00000095114.1)". The record is from RNAcentral. Lineage: Eukaryota; Metazoa; Chordata; Actinopteri; Salmoniformes; Salmonidae.